This 450-nucleotide ribosomal RNA is filed under the name uncultured Glomeromycotina. Its description in RNAcentral is "SSU rRNA". It matches the Rfam family "Eukaryotic small subunit ribosomal RNA", at positions 569 to 1024 of the family's 1831-position model. Lineage: Eukaryota; Fungi; Glomeromycota. The record is from RNAcentral.
AGCAACCGCGGUAAUUCCAGCUCCAAUAGCGUAUAUUAAAGUUGUUGCAGUUAAAAAGCUCGUAGUUGAAUUUCGGGAUCAAUAUAUUGGUCAUGCUUAGGUAUGUACUGGUAUUAUUGAUUUCUCCCUUCUGAAGAACCAUAAUGUCAUUAAUUUGAUGUCAUGGGGAAUCAGGACUGUUACUUUGAAAAAAUUAGAGUGUUUAAAGCAGGCUUUCGCUUGAAUACAUUAGCAUGGAAUAAUGAAAUAGGACGUUUGAUUCUAUUUUGUUGGUUUCUAGGAUCGACGUAAUGAUUAAUAGGGAUAGUUGGGGGCAUUAGUAUUCAAUUGUCAGAGGUGAAAUUCUUGGAUUUAUUGAAGACUAACUACUGCGAAAGCAUUUGCCAAGGAUGUUUUCAUUAAUCAAGAACGAAAGUUAGGGGAUCGAAGACGAUCAGAUACCGUCGUAGU